RNAcentral lists this transfer RNA (75 nucleotides) under Eubacteriaceae bacterium. RNAcentral describes it as "tRNA-Asn". It matches the Rfam family "tRNA". From Rfam's summary of the family: Transfer RNA (tRNA) molecules are approximately 80 nucleotides in length. Their secondary structure includes four short double-helical elements and three loops (D, anti-codon, and T loops). The record is from RNAcentral. Lineage: Bacteria; Bacillati; Bacillota; Clostridia; Eubacteriales; Eubacteriaceae.
UCCUCAGUAGCUCAAUGGUGGAGCACUCGGCUGUUAACCGAUAGGCUGUUGGUUCGAAUCCAACCUGGGGAGCCA